UUAGGAAUCUUGCGCAAUGGGCGAAAGCCUGACGCAGCAACGCCGCGUGGGGGACGAAGGCUCUCGGGUUGUAAACCCCUUUCAGUAGGGACGAAUCAAGACGGUACCUACAGAAGAAGCCCCGGCCAACUACGUGCCAGCAGCCGCGGUAACACGUAGGGGGCAAGCGUUGUCCGGAUUUAUUGGGCGUAAAGAGCUCGUAGGCGGUUCGGUAAGUCGGGUGUGAAACCUCCAGGCUCAACCUGGAGACGCCACCCGAUACUGCUGUGACUCGAGUCCGGUAGGGGAGCGUGGAAUUCCUGGUGUAGCGGUGAAAUGCGCAGAUAUCAGGAGGAACACCAGCGGCGAAGGCGGCGCUCUGGGCCGGAACUGACGCUGAGGAGCGAAAGCGUGGGUAGCAAACAGG
Molecule: ribosomal RNA, 406 nt
Filed under: Acidobacteriota bacterium
Lineage: Bacteria; Pseudomonadati; Acidobacteriota
Description: Acidobacteria bacterium partial 16S ribosomal RNA
Rfam family: Bacterial small subunit ribosomal RNA
Source: RNAcentral